AUUGAACGCUGGCGGCAGGCCUAACACAUGCAAGUCGAGCGGAUGAAGGGAGCUUGCUCCUGGAUUCAGCGGCGGACGGGUGAGUAAUGCCUAGGAAUCUGCCUGGUAGUGGGGGAUAACGUCCGGAAACGGGCGCUAAUACCGCAUACGUCCUGAGGGAGAAAGUGGGGGAUCUUCGGACCUCACGCUAUCAGAUGAGCCUAGGUCGGAUUAGCUAGUUGGUGGGGUAAAGGCCUACCAAGGCGACGAUCCGUAACUGCUCUGAGAGGAUGAUCAGUCACACUGGAACUGAGACACGGUCCAGACUCCUGCGGGAGGCAGCAGUGGGGAAUAUUGGACAAUGGGCGAAAGCCUGAUCCAGCCAUGCCGCGUGUGUGAAGAAGGUCUUCGGAUUGUAAAGCACUUUAAGUUGGGAGGAAGGGCAGUAAGUUAAUACCUUGCUGUUUUGACGUUACCAACAGAAUAAGCACCGGCUAACUUCGUG
RNAcentral lists this ribosomal RNA (484 nucleotides) under uncultured bacterium. RNAcentral's name for it is "partial 16S ribosomal RNA". It matches the Rfam family "Bacterial small subunit ribosomal RNA", at positions 30 to 507 of the family's 1533-position model. The record is from RNAcentral.